RNAcentral lists this ribosomal RNA (254 nucleotides) under uncultured bacterium. Its description in RNAcentral is "partial 16S ribosomal RNA". It matches the Rfam family "Bacterial small subunit ribosomal RNA", at positions 524 to 776 of the family's 1533-position model. The record is from RNAcentral.
UACGUAGGUGGCAAGCGUUGUCCGGAUUUACUGGGCGUAAAGAGCUCGUAGGCGGUUUGGUAAGUCGGGUGUGAAAUCUCCACGCUCAACGUGGAGGGGCCACUCGAUACUGCCAUGACUCGAGUCCGGUAGAGGAGAGCGGAAUUCCCGGUGUAGCGGUGAAAUGCGCAGAUAUCGGGAGGAACACCGGUGGCGAAGGCGGUUCUCUGGGCCUUACCUGACGCUGAGGAGCGAAAGCGUGGGGAGCGAACAGG